RNAcentral lists this ribosomal RNA (253 nucleotides) under uncultured prokaryote. RNAcentral describes it as "partial 16S ribosomal RNA". It matches the Rfam family "Bacterial small subunit ribosomal RNA", at positions 525 to 777 of the family's 1533-position model. The record is from RNAcentral.
ACGAAGGGGGCUAACGUUGCUCGGAAUCACUGGGCGUAAAGGGUGCGUAGGCGGGUUUUUAAGUCAGAGGUGAAAUCCUGGAGCUCAACUCCAGAACUGCCUUUGAUACUGAAGAUCUUGAGUCCGGGAGAGGAGGGUGGAAUUCCCAGUGUAGCGGUGAAAUGCGUAGAUAUUGGGAGGAACACCGGUGGCGAAGGCGGCUCUCUGGACCGGUACUGACGCUGAGGCGCGAAAGCUAGGGGAGCAAACGGGA